CGUGAGUGAAAGGUUUUCUGAUCGUAAGCUCUGUUGUUAGGGAAGAACAAGUACGAGAGUAACUGCGCGUACCUUGACGGUACCUAACCAGAAAGCCACGGCUAACUCCCUGGCAGCAGCCGCGGUAAUACAUAAGGGGCGAACGUUGAUCGGAAUUAGUGGGCCUAAAGCGCGCGCAAGCGGCUUGUUUAGCCCGAUGUGAAAACCCCAGGCUCAACCGGGGAAGGGCAUUCGAAACUGGGGGACUUGAAUGCGAGAAAGGAAAGUGGAAUUCCCCGUGGAGCGGUGAAAUGCGUAAAUAUGAGGAAGAACACCGGUGGCGAAGGCGACCCUCUGGACUGUAACUAACGCUGAGGAGCGAAAGCGUGGGGAGCCAACACGAUUAGAUACCCUGGUAGUCCACUCCGUAAACGAUGAGUGCUAGGUGUUAAGGGGUUUCCGCCCCCUAGUGCUGAAGUUAACGCAUUAAGCACUCCCCCUGGGGAGUACGGCCGCAAGGCUGAAACUCAA
RNAcentral lists this ribosomal RNA (510 nucleotides) under uncultured bacterium. RNAcentral describes it as "bacterial SSU rRNA". It matches the Rfam family "Bacterial small subunit ribosomal RNA", at positions 400 to 904 of the family's 1533-position model. The record is from RNAcentral.